This 82-nucleotide small nucleolar RNA is filed under the name Schizopora paradoxa. Its description in RNAcentral is "Hyphodontia paradoxa Small nucleolar RNA snR56". It matches the Rfam family "Small nucleolar RNA snR56". Lineage: Eukaryota; Fungi; Basidiomycota; Agaricomycetes; Hymenochaetales; Schizoporaceae. The record is from Rfam by way of RNAcentral.
UUUCAUGAUGAACCACAUCUCAGACCUGUACCGAUCCUAUGGAUUUGCGGACAACAACGAUAUUGCCUUUUAUUUUCUGAAU